UCAGGACGAACGCUGGCGGCGUGCUUAACACAUGCAAGUCGAGCGGUAAGGCCUUUCGGGGUACACGAGCGGCGAACGGGUGAGUAACACGUGGGUGAUCUGCCCUGCACUUCGGGAUAAGCCUGGGAAACUGGGUCUAAUACCGGAUAUGACCUCCUAUCGCAUGGUGGGUGGUGGAAAGAUUUAUCGGUGCAGGAUGGGCCCGCGGCCUAUCAGCUUGUUGGUGGGGUAAUGGCCUACCAAGGCGACGACGGGUAGCCGACCUGAGAGGGUGACCGGCCACACUGGGACUGAGACACGGCCCAGACUCCUACGGGAGGCAGCAGUGGGGAAUAUUGCACAAUGGGCGAAAGCCUGAUGCAGCGACGCCGCGUGAGGGAUGACGGCCUUCGGGUUGUAAACCUCUUUCAGCAGGGACGAAGCGCAAG
This 428-nucleotide ribosomal RNA is filed under the name Rhodococcus sp. (in: high G+C Gram-positive bacteria). RNAcentral describes it as "bacterial SSU rRNA". It matches the Rfam family "Bacterial small subunit ribosomal RNA", at positions 24 to 456 of the family's 1533-position model. The record is from RNAcentral. Lineage: Bacteria; Bacillati; Actinomycetota; Actinomycetes; Mycobacteriales; Nocardiaceae.